This 318-nucleotide ribosomal RNA is filed under the name Lactiplantibacillus plantarum. RNAcentral describes it as "bacterial LSU rRNA". It matches the Rfam family "Bacterial large subunit ribosomal RNA", at positions 2610 to 2925 of the family's 2925-position model. The record is from RNAcentral. Lineage: Bacteria; Bacillati; Bacillota; Bacilli; Lactobacillales; Lactobacillaceae.
UUCAGAACGUCGUGAGACAGUUCGGUCCCUAUCCGUCGCGGGCGUAGGAAAUUUGAGAGGACCUGUCCUUAGUACGAGAGGACCGGGAUGGACAUACCUCUGGUGUACCAGUUGUGCCGCCAGGCGCAUCGCUGGGUAGCUACGUAUGGAUGUGAUAAACGCUGAAAGCAUCUAAGUGUGAAACACACCUCGAGAUGAGAUUUCCCAUUCCUUUAUGGAAGUAAGACCCCUGAAAGAUGAUCAGGUAGAUAGGUUAGAAGUGGCAGUGCGGUGACGCAUGAAGCGGACUAAUACUAAUCGGUCGAGGACUUAACCAAG